Molecule: unclassified non-coding RNA, 1036 nt
Filed under: Hevea brasiliensis (rubber tree)
Lineage: Eukaryota; Viridiplantae; Streptophyta; Magnoliopsida; Malpighiales; Euphorbiaceae
Source: RNAcentral
UUUUUUUUUUUUUUUUUUUUUUGUUAAGUGUAUUCUUGGGCCAAUUUUCACGCAAUGAAACUAAUUUUGGAGUGCUCCCCUUGAAGUCAAAUCCUGAUUGACAAGAAAGAGAAGUUUCCAUUAUUACCAGGUGAACUAAUUCUGUUGAGUUCCUCUAAUGGUGUUCUUUGUUUGUUACAUGAUAUCUGCAGGGUCUCCUACAUAACAGCAAGCACAUUUGGGGCACAUAAUUCAUAACCUGUGAUCUUGUAUAUCAAAUAGGUGCAUAAAUCCAUGUUACAUGUUGGUGUUUGAGAGUAGACAAACACCAAGGUCAUAUUAAAAUCUUCCACCUAUGGGUAAUAAUAUCAGUUAUCGACUUGAGUGAACUCUAGAGCAUUUGCAUCUGGAUCUCGUGUAAAGAUUGCAGGCCUCCCAGACCGGGGAAUUCCAGCUUUAUCAAGGAUUGCCUUCAACUUGGACACAUCGCGAAUAGCAAUGCAAGUAUGUCUGUCUCGGCCACCAUGUUGAGGUCGUCCAGUUAAGGGGUCAGGAUUUGGAAGCUCCAUUAAGUGGAUCAUUUCAGAACCCACCCACAACCAAGCACCCCUAUAGGGAAGCUUAUCAUGUGGCCUUGCCUCAUUUAUUUCAAGACCUAAAAUGCCUUGAUAAAAUUCAAGUGACCGUUCAAGAUUUUCACACAGCACUCCAACAUGGUGAACACUAACAACCCCAUAAUCUAUCUUCUCAUUGACAUGCCUUGCUUCUUUCUCAACUACAUCAGCUUCAACAGACAGUUUGGCUUUUGUCUUGAAAGAAAGCUCAUGAAACUUAUUACUACCAACAAUAGAGUGGUAAAAAGGGGAUAGUGAGUUUGUAGAUAUAGGUCCGAUUCUAAGAGGAUUCACCUUGUGUUUAACAGAUAUGGCGGCAGAUGGACCGACAAGAGAAGCCAUGGAAGAGCACUUGAGCAGUGAAAGAGAGUGAUUACGGUUUCGUUAACCUACUGUUUAUUUUGUGAACCCAAAUGCCACCAACCGUUUCCAACCACCGCUUG